GAUGAACGCUGGCGGCGUGCUUAACACAUGCAAGUCGAACGGGAAACCUUUUAUUGAAGCUUCGGCAGAUUUAGCUGGUUUCUAGUGGCGGACGGGUGAGUAACGCGUGGGUAACCUGCCUUAUACAGGGGGAUAACAACCAGAAAUGGUUGCUAAUACCGCAUAAGCGCACAGGACCGCAUGGUCCGGUGUGAAAAACUCCGGUGGUAUAAGAUGGACCCGCGUUGGAUUAGCUAGUUGGCAGGGUAACGGCCUACCAAGGCGACGAUCCAUAGCCGGCCUGAGAGGGUGAACGGCCACAUUGGGACUGAGACACGGCCCAGACUCCUACGGGAGGCAGCAGUGGGGAAUAUUGCACAAUGGGGGAAACACUGAUGCAGCGACGCCGCGUGAAGGAAGAAGUAUCUCGGUAUGUAAACUUCUAUCAGCAGGGAAGAUAGUGACGGUACCUGACUAAGAAGCCCCGGCUAACUACGUG
Molecule: ribosomal RNA, 478 nt
Filed under: uncultured bacterium
Lineage: Bacteria
Description: partial 16S ribosomal RNA
Rfam family: Bacterial small subunit ribosomal RNA
Source: RNAcentral